Molecule: ribosomal RNA, 301 nt
Filed under: uncultured bacterium
Lineage: Bacteria
Description: partial 16S ribosomal RNA
Rfam family: Bacterial small subunit ribosomal RNA
Source: RNAcentral
CAGCAGCCGCGGUAAUACGAAGGGUGCAAGCGUUAAUCGGAAUUACUGGGCGUAAAGCGCGCGUAGGUGGUUUGGUAAGAUGGAUGUGAAAUCCCCGGGCUCAACCUGGGAACUGCAUCCAUAACUGCCUGACUAGAGUACGGUAGAGGGUGGUGGAAUUUCCUGUGUAGCGGUGAAAUGCGUAGAUAUAGGAAGGAACACCAGUGGCGAAGGCGACCACCUGGACUGAUACUGACACUGAGGUGCGAAAGCGUGGGGAGCAAACAGGAUUAGAUACCCCCGUAGUCCCUGUCUCUUAUAC